This is a long non-coding RNA of Haemorhous mexicanus (house finch), 797 nucleotides long. RefSeq lists it as uncharacterized. NCBI's taxonomy places the organism in Eukaryota, Metazoa, Chordata, Aves, Passeriformes, Fringillidae. The transcript is spliced from 2 exons. The record is from RefSeq and is a predicted model, not a curated record.
UCCAAGCACUGGGAUUGUUGUGGGGUCUGUCCAACCCCUCCUUAACCCCUGAGGAACCUUUGUCUUGUGGUCAGAGUUGCUACAGUGGGAGGACUCAGAAAUCCAUGUAUAGAUGUAAAUUCCAGUAUCUUCUCGAGUUCUAGAGGAAUUGAGUUGCUGGUGAAGGUGGGGGUUUUGCUGCUGGGUUUGGUUCUGGCUCUCUGCUGAUGCUCUGUCCAGGUGCAGCAGCUGCUGAGCCUCAUCCUGGCUCUUGGGCUUGCAGCAUUCUUGAGCCAGCCUCACUUUUGUGGUUUUGUCCCUCCUAGUCCUGAGAAGGAGUAACUGAAGCUGCCUGGCUGCCUCCUGGGUGCUUGUACUGAUGCAGGGAGCAGGAGAGAGGUUGUCUUGCUCACCUGUUCACUCCAAAGUCCUCUGAUGUGGUUCAGGAGGUUAUUUGGGCACUUGGAUCCCUCCCAGCAGGUACCUUUGUAGCAAAACCUUUGAUUCAAUUAUUGCAUCAUUUCUCACCAGCAUGCUGAAGUGUCCCAAUUUUUACUGUUUAUUUACAAAAUAGGAGAUUUUGGAAAUAAUGUACUCUGGGUUCUCUGAUGCAAUAGAGACCAGAGAGGUGGUGGAGGAAAAUCAACUAAAAGGAAUUGUUUCUCUCCUUAAUAAAAGAAACAAACCUGGAAGCGAGGCAGGCUGAAUGAACUGAAACCGAGCUGCUGGUGGAGGAAUGUAUUUUAUUCUGUUCUUUGUUGGACACUGCCAGAAACACUGUGAAUACAGUUAAUAAACAUGUCUAAAAAUGUUAAAUA